CGAAAUGCGAUAAGUAGUGUGAAUUGCAGAAUUCAGUGAAUCAUCGAAUCUUUGAACGCACAUUGCGCCCCCUGGUAUUCCAUGGGGCAUGCCUGUUCGAGCGUCAUUUGUACCCUCAAGCUCUGCUUGGUGUUGGGUGUUUGUCCCGUCUCCGCGCGUGGACUCGCCCCAAAGUGAUUGGCAGCCGGCGUACUGGUCCCGGAGCGCAGCACAUGUCGCGCAAACGAGUGCCUUGGUACGGCGGCGUCCAUAAGCCCCUCUCUCACGCUCUUGACCUCGGAUCAGGUAGGGAUACCCGCUGAACUUAAGC
RNAcentral lists this unclassified non-coding RNA (310 nucleotides) under plant metagenome. Its description in RNAcentral is "partial contains 5.8S ribosomal RNA, internal transcribed spacer 2, and large subunit ribosomal RNA". The stretch from base 1 to 106 matches the Rfam family "5.8S ribosomal RNA", at positions 49 to 154 of the family's 154-position model. The record is from RNAcentral.